UGUUCAAAAAGUAAAAAGAAUAAAAACUGCUCAACAGUUUAAUUAUCACUAUUUAAUACAUAUAAAUAUAUAUUUCCCUGUAGUAGCCAUAACAUUUAUUUUCCUUAAUAGUUUUCAGUAGUUCUGGGAACUGUUUUUCGCAGAAAUGUCUGAUUAUUAUCACUAGCAAUUAAAUUUAUUUAUUAUAUUUUGCUGUUGCUGCAGGAGCUUCUCAUGCCAUUGACACGCUGUCUUGUACACUCUCACCAAAGACGAAUGGAGGCAUGUCGCUGGGCAAGGAGCAGUGGAAAUCUUAGUGAAAUCUGCACAACUUGAUUUCAGUUCAUGCUGUUCAGGGCAACGUGCUUAGAGGGGAUCCUUUACCUCCUCCUCUUCUCCCCUUGCCGAAGGAUGAAGUGAUCCAGAGUACAUCCUAAAAAACAUUUUUCUUUCUCCUUACUCUUUGGCUCUGCCUCCAGACCCCUCUACCGAUGCAAUCUGGCUAUGAUUCUGCAUGCCACUUUGUUUGACCCUGAUGACAUAAGUUGACGCAUGUACUUUUGAACCUUCCCAAGAAUGAAUAAUAUCCCUGCAAUAAAAUGAAAUCCUAGCAUUUUUAACCCGCCAAGCCCCUGUGAUUGUUGGGGCCAGGCAUGUCAAAUGGUGGCUCAGCCGAUGGACGCCUGAAAUGGAGGUGGAUAGAUUUCAGCCCCAAAACAAGCAAGCCAUUGAGAGUUGGCACUGGUCCACUUUUCUCCUGAUACCUGUGAUGAGUACGUUUGAAACACUGAAAGCUCUUUCAUGGGUAUUGGGAGGAGGGAGAGAGAACUUAUGAAGGUGCAACAGAAUAGAGAGACUUGUGGCUUCAGAUUUUAAAGGUAGCAAGUAGCCUAAGAAAACUCAGGGGCUGGGAGAGGCUCACUGGCUCUAAAGCUGUCAGCUGUCUGGGUUGCUUUGAUUCUCAUGGGUUUAGGUAUAACUUGAAAUAGGUCUUUCCUUCCCCUUUGUCCCGAGUUCCCAAAAUACUGCACUUCAGUUAAAGAUGGGCCUCAAGGUUACACCAAGUUCAAACUUCCGCCAAAUUUAAAGAGGUUAAACCCAGAACUUUAUUUGGGGAUUUCUGUGCUUUUUGAAGACUUCCAUACACCUGGCUGAGCCCAGGCCCUAUAAAUGAGAACUGAGACACAAAUGAACUGCCUCAUCAUUAUUAAUGUUAGAUCAUAAGCCUUAGCAACACCAUCCCAGCAGCUUUCCCAUUUGGUGCCCAGACAUGCCAAAAGCAGACCAGAAGUGUGACAUUAGCAGAGCUGCCUUCUCUAAGAGAAGCUGCCAAGCCUCUUCUUAAAGUCCUUAAACCCUGACAAGGCACUGUAAAAUACUGAAAUCAUCUGUGCUGAGUGAGGGUUGUGCUUCCAUCAGGGUGUGGGAGUUUGUGUUUGGUUGGAUUAGUUUGGUAACUCUGCAUGACUGAAAUAGAAGCUUCCAGUAUUUAGUUGGGCGUAUUAUUUGUUGGAUGUCAUGAAUCCUUUUUCCUCUAGACUUCUGGUAUUAUGUCACAUCUAUCAAUGGAGCCAAAGGGUUGCCUAAUCAGGAAAAAUUUGCAUCUUUAUAUAUAGAUACUGCAUUGAAAUGGCAGGAACAAACACAUGUAUUGGAAGGAAAUUAGAUCUCUGAUUAGGUCAUUGUCUUAAUAGUAAAAAAUCAGGUUUCACUUUUUUCAUUCUCUUAAAAUGAGAAGACUACCUUGAAUCUGUCUUCUGCACUUCAGUUUUGUUUUGUUUCUUCAAGAGAGGCGCUGAGGAGAACGGAUUGCCAUUAUUCUUGACAUUUUAAAUGGCCAUCCUUUUCCUCUUGGAUAUGGUACCCAGAUGGAUAGUUAGAAAGUUAAAGUGGCUCAGCUAAAGAUAAGGAUGCUGUGAACUUUGGUUUUACAACUCCUGCCUUGGCCUCUCAGCCCAGCUGAUUUAGUAGGAGUGAGCUUGCCCCACUCACAGAAGUGCAAGUAGGGGGGAAAGGGAGGAGAAAAAUAACAGUACUCCACAGACCUCCGCUUCAAAUGCACAUAAAAAGCUGCUUGACCGGGAUAUCGGGAGCAAUCCUGCUUCUGCAGCACUCCCUAAAGUGGGGAUCCAGUGGAGCUGCUCAUGGCAGGGAAGCUGGGUUUAGCCCAGUAGGAGCAGGAGCUGGUGUUGCCUGGUUUGAGAAGUGCAGGAGUUGGAAGGAUAAUAAAAGGAAAGCGUGGUGAACAGAUUGCUUGAGCAGAAUAUUUUAGCUUAAUAAAAAUAUAAAAUAAUAAAUCCACAGCCAACCCCCUCCCCUAAGCCUUCAGUCCCCUGUACGAGGCUGAUGAAAUUUAUACUAGAGAGAGAGACAUAACGAAAGAAAUUGUUUAUUUGUUUGUUUGCCUUUAUAAAACCCAUUUGGGAGGAACAUCAACGAAUAUACCAUACAUCAGUUAUCCGCCUUAUACCAGUUACACUGAUGCUGGAGACGUCCUUUGUUAGAAAUUAAUGUAUGUAAUAAAGUUUUACAUUUUUCAUA
Molecule: long non-coding RNA, 2520 nt
Organism: Pezoporus occidentalis (night parrot)
Lineage: Eukaryota; Metazoa; Chordata; Aves; Psittaciformes; Psittacidae
Exons: 2
Source: RefSeq, a predicted model, not a curated record